Molecule: long non-coding RNA, 1949 nt
Organism: Triticum dicoccoides
Lineage: Eukaryota; Viridiplantae; Streptophyta; Magnoliopsida; Poales; Poaceae
Exons: 4
Source: RefSeq, a predicted model, not a curated record
CCGGAUCCCGGCGAUGCCCCGCCCCUACCUUCUUCCUCACUCUCGGCGCCGCCCGACUCCCAACCUCCCAGGAUCCCGGCGAUGCCCCACCCUCACCUCCUCCCUCGCCCCCGGCGCCGCCCGAGCCCCAACCUCCUUGGAUCCCAGCAUCACUCCACCACCACCUCCUACAUCCCACAGCAGCGGCCGCCCAUGCCGCCUGCGCGUGCCUCCGUCCUCCUCCAGGCACCGGCAGCGCGCCCCACCCCACGCCGCCUGCCACGUGGGCACCUGCCCCAAAUCGCUGGCUCAUUGGCUUUCUAGGCUGCCGCUAGCUUGUUCUUCCUCUGGCCACCGCCAGCUCGCCGUCCGUUCAUCUUCGCCACUUACUGAAGCUUGUUCUAUUCUGCUUGUUUUUAGAGGAAAAGAGAUGGUUCUUCACUGUCUUGCUCGUGUAUGCCAAUGAUGUGACGCGGUUCAGCUGCUUGUGCGUUUGCACUAAUGAUAAUUCAGUCGUGUUUGCUUGUCUAUGUGGCCAUGGAUGCACCCAGCGAAGGACAACGAUGGGCAAAAAAAUGAUAGUGCAGCUGCUUGCCUCCUCUUCAUAUUCCAUACGAGAAAACAUCAUUUGCCCCUUUAUUUUCUUCAGUAAGUUUUCAUUAAAAGACCUGAGAAUAGUAAGUAGAAGUUUGACACAAGGACCUACAUCAAUUCAACUGCAGAAAGAGAACAAGUCCAUGAGAUUAUUAUUAAAUUCAAGAUUACUAUAUGGUCCAUGUACAUAUUUAACAGCAAGUCCAUGAACUACUAUAUGAUAAGUACGAAAAAUACUGCUGGUGAGAGUUCAUUUAAAUACCUUGUAGUGUUUUUUUCAGUACACACUAUAGGAUUUUAUUUAGUUCAAUGAAUUCCAAAUAGAAAAAAACUGCGGCUGUGUAAUGAUUCUUGAAUUUACGUUUCUUCUUGCACUUUGCUAUAUGGAGCAAAAGUGGUACAGUGAUGAUUCAGCUUGGGUGGGCUCUCAAAGUCGGAGACAUAAUAACCAGUUAUUUAGACCUUUCAAUCACACGAUCACUUGCAGAUAUCCUCUGCUUUUCUUUACACCAAUUAUUUGUGAAAAGUUCAAAUUAUAAAAGCAGAUAAGUCCAGGGUUCACCGGCGGAAGUUUGAGAAAAAAGAUAUAAAAGAAAAGGAGAGUUCGGAAAAUGCGCUAGUAUUGGUUGCUGUUGUCUGCUGUUGCAUGAAGCCCCUACUGCUUGCAUUGGUGCGCUGCUAUUGUUUGUUGGUUCAGCAGGGUGAUGUGAGUGUGUGAGAGAGAUAGCAAAAUGGAAUGAUCUUCUACAUUGACUAAAUCAUGGCACACUCAGUUCAAUUUCUUGAUUUAGUCCAAUUCAAUUCCUAAUUGUGUUUUAGUUCAAAGACUGCUAUCUCUCCCAGUUUCUAUGUUUAAUUACAAAGUCCAUGUACAUUAACAACAAAUAAGUUCAAGUAUAUCAAUAAAUGGAAGUUCAGGUAUAUGGAAUUUGAUGCUUGUUGGGUGUAUACAGGAGUAUAAAUGGAUUUUCUUCUUGUUGAAUGAAGUUGAACUUGUUGUUAUGCUUCUGAACUUCUACCUCUUUCCCGCAGUUCAAUGGAUUCCAAAAAGGAAAAAACUAUGGAUGGGUGAGAAAUCAACUUCCUGUACAGUUCUGCCAUGAGCAUUGCACGACCCCGACCACCGGCACCACUGCUUCCCGACCUCUUGCUUGCAUCGCCAUCUCCCGGUGGGGCUCUGCCGCCGGAGCACCCUAGCCGUUCACAGCCACCACUCCAGGCCGUUGAAAUAAAUCAAGCAGUGUUUUGUCGACAACAUGGUGGCGGCCUGAGGGAGUCCUGGAUUAGGGGGUGUCCGGAUAGCCGGACUACCAUCAUCAGCCGAACUAUCAUCGGCCGGACUAUCAUCAUCGACCGGACUCCAAGACUAUGAAGAU